UACAGAGGUCUCAAGCGUUGUUCGGAUUCAUUGGGCGUAAAGGGUGCGUAGGUGGCGCGCUAAGUCAGGUGUGAAAUCUCGGGGCUUAACUCCGAAACUGCAUUUGAUACUGGCGUGCUUGAGGACUGGAGAGGAGACUGGAAUUCAUGGUGUAGCAGUGAAAUGCGUAGAGAUCAUGAGGAAGACCAGUGGCGAAGGCAGCACUCUGGGACGUGACUGACGCUGAGACGCGAAAGCGUGGGGAGCAAACAGG
Molecule: ribosomal RNA, 253 nt
Filed under: uncultured bacterium
Lineage: Bacteria
Description: partial 16S ribosomal RNA
Rfam family: Bacterial small subunit ribosomal RNA
Source: RNAcentral